GCCCCCGUAGCUCAGUUGGUAGAGCAGCAACCUUUUAAGUUGAAGGUCGCAGGUUCGAAUCCUGCCGGGGGCA
Molecule: transfer RNA, 73 nt
Filed under: Candidatus Parcubacteria bacterium
Lineage: Bacteria; Candidatus Parcubacteria
Description: tRNA-Lys
Rfam family: tRNA
About the family: Transfer RNA (tRNA) molecules are approximately 80 nucleotides in length.
Source: RNAcentral